RNAcentral lists this ribosomal RNA (253 nucleotides) under uncultured bacterium. Its description in RNAcentral is "partial 16S ribosomal RNA". It matches the Rfam family "Bacterial small subunit ribosomal RNA", at positions 524 to 776 of the family's 1533-position model. The record is from RNAcentral.
UACAGAGGGUGCAAGCGUUAAUCGGAAUUACUGGGCGUAAAGCGCACGUAGGCGGUUUUCUAAGUCAGAUGUGAAAGCCCCGGGCUCAACCUGGGAAUUGCAUUUGAAACUGGGGAACUAGAGUGUGUGAGAGGGGGGUAGAAUUCCAAGUGUAGCGGUGAAAUGCGUAGAGAUUUGGAGGAAUACCAGUGGCGAAGGCGGCCCCCUGGCACAACACUGACGCUCAGGUGCGAAAGCGUGGGGAGCAAACAGG